UGGGGAAUAUUGCACAAUGGGGGAAACCCUGCUGCAGCGACGCCGCGUGAAGGAAGAAGUAUCUCGGUAUGUAAACUUCUAUCAGCAGGGAAGAUAGUGACGGUACCUGACUAAGAAGCCCCGGCUAACUACGUGCCAGCAGCCGCGGUAAUACGUAGGGGGCAAGCGUUAUCCGGAUUUACUGGGUGUAAAGGGAGCGUAGACGGUGUGUCAAGUCUGAUGUGAAAGGCAUGGGCUCAACCUGUGGACUGCAUUGGAAACUGUCAUACUUGAGUGCCGGAGGGGUAAGCGGAAUUCCUAGUGUAGCGGUGAAAGGAGUAGAUAUUAGGAGGAACACCAGUGGCGAAGGCGGCUUACUGGACGGUAACUGACGUUGAGGCUCGAAAGCGUGGGGAGCAAACAGG
This 404-nucleotide ribosomal RNA is filed under the name Acidobacteriota bacterium. Its description in RNAcentral is "Acidobacteria bacterium partial 16S ribosomal RNA". It matches the Rfam family "Bacterial small subunit ribosomal RNA", at positions 355 to 776 of the family's 1533-position model. Lineage: Bacteria; Pseudomonadati; Acidobacteriota. The record is from RNAcentral.